CGCAUUCAUAACAUUGUAACCCGUGCUGUCAGGGCCACAACCCUUUGCAGAGCCCACCUGUGGCGACCUGUCACAACCACCGGUCCGAAGGAAACAUUCGCUUCUCGGGGAAACGACGCUCUCUCCGAGGUCCCUUUGUCGCGAAUGUAACAGCAUCAUUUGCAACUUGGACACCAAGAAAGGAACCGACAGGCGCAGCACGGAAAGACAAUUCUAAAGGCGGCCUUUCUUGCACUGAUGUCCGACGGCUGAGUUCCACUUCACACGGAACAGAAAGAACCGAGUGUAGCAAGAUCCUAUGCGUCGAACGGCUUGAAAGUGAAUCCAAGAAGCCAAGACAGUGAAGUUCCAAACAGGCCGUUUUGUUUUUAUGCCUGCACACUCUAACAACAGAACUUUACCGUAUAGCACGCUCUGCAUCAACCAUUGCCACGCAUGAUUCGCUUCCGAUUCGAGGGGACGGGACGUACGCGUUUUUGUGGCAAUUUGGAUAUAUAGUAAUUGACACGAAAAGGCGUACGCCCCCCCCCCCCUCCCCCCCCGUCUUCGGAGCGAUAACCCUAUCAUCCGUGGCAAUGGUUUGCACACAACAUGCUAUGCGAUGAAGUUCUGUUUUUCGAGUUCCGUUUCUGUUGAGCGGGAUGAAAGCCAAGCAGACGUACAACUGGAAGGGCAUGGCUCUGUCCAAGCAGACUGUAAGCUAUGUGUAGCGAAAGACAAAAUGAACGACCUUCUUUAUUUUUUGUUUAGAUACAGCGUG
This is a long non-coding RNA of Ornithodoros turicata, 760 nucleotides long. RefSeq lists it as uncharacterized. NCBI's taxonomy places the organism in Eukaryota, Metazoa, Arthropoda, Arachnida, Ixodida, Argasidae. The transcript is spliced from 2 exons. The record is from RefSeq and is a predicted model, not a curated record.